Salvelinus sp. IW2-2015 is the source of this 1712-nucleotide non-coding RNA. NCBI's taxonomy places the organism in Eukaryota, Metazoa, Chordata, Actinopteri, Salmoniformes, Salmonidae. The record is from RefSeq and is a predicted model, not a curated record.
CCCUUCCCAUUGAACUACAAGCACAGUCAGAGAACUGUGUUAAAGCACAAAAACUUGAAAAUCKAGUUCAGUCCACGCAGCCGUAAGGUGCGUUGUCGGGUAGAGAAGCCUGUGGAGGUACCACAACCAUCAGACUGUGAGAYGGGGAGUGGGAAAGCUGCCCCAAGACCUCCCGACACAAUACCGGAGUCCAAGUUAAAAAACCUGUCUGUUUUUAACUUCAACUCCUCCCAAGACUCGGGCUCCUCCUUUCCGCAGAGAGCGACUAACGAUGAGAAGCAGAAGGAGGCAACUAAGACAAGAAAUGGUGGUGUCAGGAAGCCUGCAGCCUGGGGUUGGCAAAAACCAACGACAYGUAAAGAAACAAAGCAGAAGAUCAAGAUGCAGAGGUUGGAGGCGAUCAACCGGCAGUGGGGCUUUGGUGGAGAAGGAGAUGUCAGAKAGGAAGGAGAGCAGGUCAUACACCARCCUCUCUCAGCUAGAUAAGCUCUCUGCUAAACACCUCAAACAAAAUGAGAAAUCUACUACAAAGCCAGUUCUAUUCUCUCAUCCCAAGCACACUCCCAAAAGAUCCUGUGCAGAAGAGAAAAACCUUUCACAGAGUACCCCCCCAAAAAACAAGGCAUCUCCCGGCCAGGGUAGAUGUCAGACGGGAGAGGGUUCCACUCCCAGCCCUGCCUACCAUGUUGACAGCCCCAGACAGAAGGACCACCACCAGCAGCCCUUGUUCCCCGGCCCCCCUGGGGAAGACAUCUCCAGGGAGAGUCUCACAGAGCAGCCCAGCUGUUGUGAAAAGAACCCACAAGGGAUAGACACCCCAGCACCUGGCUGCUAUAAAGGGAGAUGUGGAGAACGUGAAGGAGCUCCUAGACCAGGGGGCUGACCCCAACCUGAAAGACAACGCUGGAUGGACCCCACUGCACGAAGCGUAUAACCUGGGCCACCAGUAUGUAGUGGCGUUGGUUAGGAGAGGGGUGCUGUUGAACACACCAGGCAGUGAGAACGACUGUCCUCUACUUGACGCUGAACACUGGGCUUCACAGAGCGUUUUGAACGUGCUGUUUCACAUUGUCUUCAGUGUCUCUACGCUGCGUUGCUGCACACUGGAUUCGCAUAGCCYGUGUGUUCUUGUAWCAUAUUGUCACCAAUGAGCGAGUUCAUGUYACCAUGAUCCAUGCCUGUGUAACCCUAAUCUCCACACCCAGAAGAACAUCAGUAUUUCAUGCAGGCCAGUUACUAGAUGGCAAAGGGAAUAUGUUUGGUCUUCGUCCUGUGGACUAUGAUGUGAACUCAGGCAAUCCUUCAGUCAGCCUCUGAAGGACCCCAACUCCCCUCUCAGUCCUCCACCCAACCUCAGUAAGUUUAUUGUGUUUCAGGCCAGUGAUGGGGUGACACGGAUGGAACAGGUGGUAGUAUUGGGCAGCAAACUGUCCCAACAUAACCAGCUGGCCAAACUGGGAAUCCCCCUGGGAGGAAAGAGGGCUGAUGCCUUCUCUUGCUCAGUCACCUAUGUGGUGGUACCAGACGGGCCGAUGCCCACCACCUUGUUCUCUCUCCUGGGUCUCCUGAACGGCUGCUGGGUCCUCAACUUCAGCUGUAAGUAACCUAAGGCCAAUCAAAUCUGCUCUGCGGAGAAUGAGGAUGGAAUCACGGAAUCCAGACAUUAAAAYGGAAUUCAACAAUAUUCCAAAAUGUAUUGAACUGAACAAAAA